Molecule: ribosomal RNA, 305 nt
Filed under: uncultured bacterium
Lineage: Bacteria
Description: bacterial SSU rRNA
Rfam family: Bacterial small subunit ribosomal RNA
Source: RNAcentral
UGCCUACGGGACGCAGCAGUGAGGAAUAUUGGUCAAUGGCCGAGAGGCUGAACCAGCCAAGUCGCGUGAGGGAAGACGGCCCUUCGGGUUGUAAACCUCUUUUGUCGGGGAGCAAAGCGAGUCACGUGUGACUCAUUGAGAGUACCCGAAGAAAAAGCAUCGGCUAACUCCGUGCCAGCAGCCGCGGUAAUACGGAGGAUGCGAGCGUUAUCCGGAUUUAUUGGGUUUAAAGGGUGCGCAGGCGGAUUUUUAAGUCAGCGGUCAAAUCGUGGGGCUCAACCCCAUCCAGCCGUUGAAACUGGGGA